UCCCCAAGGAUGAGUAGGAAGUUAUAAUCCUUUCCUCUCCUUUCUUUCCAUGUCUUUGAUCUUUGUCGCAUCCUUGUAGGCAUGGAGCCUGAAAUUUUAGCCAAACUGUGGAAGAAUGCCCCUAAGAGAAGGACGGCUUCAGCUACCGAGGGUUCUUUGAAGAGGGCAAAGACCAUCAAGGUUGGCGAAGGUGGGGCCCCAUCUGAACGGGUCCCUC
This 217-nucleotide long non-coding RNA is filed under the name Elaeis guineensis (African oil palm). RNAcentral describes it as "long non-coding RNA (EGUI_LNC005636)". The record is from RNAcentral. Lineage: Eukaryota; Viridiplantae; Streptophyta; Magnoliopsida; Arecales; Arecaceae.